This 391-nucleotide ribosomal RNA is filed under the name uncultured bacterium. RNAcentral describes it as "bacterial SSU rRNA". It matches the Rfam family "Bacterial small subunit ribosomal RNA", at positions 28 to 420 of the family's 1533-position model. The record is from RNAcentral.
GACGAACGCUGGCGGCGUGCUUAACACAUGCAAGUCGAGCGGUAAGGCCCUUUCGGGGGUACACGAGCGGCGAACGGGUGAGUAACACGUGGGUGACCUGCCCUUAGCUCUGGGAUAAGCCUGGGAAACUGGGUCUAAUACCGGAUAUGACUCCAUGACGCAUGUUGUGGGGUGGAAAGCCUUGUGCGGCUAGGGAUGGGCCCGCGGCCUAUCAGCUUGUUGGUGGGGUGAUGGCCUACCAAGGCGACGACGGGUAGCCGGCCUGAGAGGGCGACCGGCCACACUGGGACUGAGACACGGCCCAGACUCCUACGGGAGGCAGCAGUGGGGAAUCUUGCGCAAUGAGCGAAAGCUUGACGCAGCGACGCCGCGUGAGGGAAGAAGGCCUCGG